AGCGAACGCUGGCGGCAGGCCUAACACAUGCAAGUCGAACGGAUCCUUCGGGAUUAGUGGCGGACGGGUUAGUAACACGUGGGAACGUGCCCUUUGGUUCGGAACAACUCAGGGAAACUUGAGCUAAUACCGGAUGUGCCCUUCGGGGGAAAGAUUUAUCGCCAUUGGAGCGGCCCGCGUCUGAUUAGCUGGUUGGUGAGGUAACGGCCCACCAAGGCGACGAUCAGUAGAUGGUCUGAGAGGAUGAUCAGCCACACUGGGACUAGGACACGGCCCAGACUCCUACGGGAGGCAGCAGUGGGGAAUCUUGCGCAAUGGGCGAAAGCCUGACGCAGCCAUGCCGCGUGAAUGAUGAAGGUCUUAGGAUUGUAAAAUUCUUUCAGCGGGGACGAUAAUGACGGUACCCGCAGAAGAAGCUCCGGCUAACUUCGUG
RNAcentral lists this ribosomal RNA (433 nucleotides) under uncultured bacterium. RNAcentral's name for it is "partial 16S ribosomal RNA". It matches the Rfam family "Bacterial small subunit ribosomal RNA", at positions 29 to 507 of the family's 1533-position model. The record is from RNAcentral.